This is a long non-coding RNA of Argiope bruennichi, 1008 nucleotides long. RefSeq lists it as uncharacterized. Lineage: Eukaryota; Metazoa; Arthropoda; Arachnida; Araneae; Araneidae. The record is from RefSeq and is a predicted model, not a curated record. The transcript has 3 exons.
GAAUCUUGCAGAUUGCUUCUUGUAUAGCUUUCAUCCAAUGAACAGAAAGAAUAAAUGUGAAUUUGAAUGAAUUUUUGAAGUAAAAUUAACCGGAAGCUUGAAAAGAUCAUCAUAUUAAUUGGUAUGACUUAGAUUAUCUAUUGGAUUCGUUUGGUUUUUCGCUCACUUAAGCGAAAUGCAAUGCCAUGGAACUAGCCAACGAAGAACAUUUAUCUGCACUGGAUAUUAGAGCAACUCGCUACAGACGGUACCUUUUUGUGCUAUUUACCGGAUCAAUGGAACAGCGUCAAUCCUCCAUCUAUAAAGUGACUACCCUGUCAGAUCUACACACAAAUUCUAUCGAUGUGGAUUCCCAAGAGGGAUGGUUUUCACAGCGUUGUACCGAAGUGAUAUCGGUAUUCAUAAGUUGAACAGCCUACGAUCUAUAUCGGUUUUGUUGGAUAAAGGCAUUUUCAACUGGCCGUAGUCCUGUUUCAUCAGUUCAGUAUGCACGCCGAACCACUGAAGCCAAUUGUGUUGGAUGAUGGGAAUGACAUCGAAAUGUGUGAAAUUCAUGUGCAAAUCCUGACACGUUUCCCCGGAACUCGUCACAACACAGACCCCAUCUAGAGCCCUUACAAUUUAAUGGAUGGCGAUCCAACAGUUCCCGUGGAUAGUUUAUCAAGUUUGAAACCCUGAGAAACAAGCUCAAUGCAUCUUAUUUAUUAAAGAAAUUUAAACCCUUAAAUCUGCCCAGAUAGGGAAUGUGAUAUGGCCAGCGUUGACUUGUCUUUGGUUGUCUGUACAUCUUUGAGAUGGCUCUCUUCUAUUUUAACGACUACGUCCUCUGAAUGCUUGCAUAUUCUUGAAGAAAUAUUUUGAUAAAUGUAGAAAUUCUUCAUGUUUCGCCAAUCUUGAAAUUUGGCGUAGAGUUCAUUGGUAAGCCUCUUAUUUGGAUCAUCUGUUUUUCAAAACGAGUAUUUGUCCCUUCAAACAAAAUUUUGUUUUACAAUGAUUUCUUGGACAUUU